GAUAGGCGAAUGGGCGAUUCCUCAAUCGUUCCUCCACAUCACCGAAGAUUUACCAACUGAUCUGCAUAAAACCUAGAUCGACGACUCCUUAAUCGUUCCUCUAACCAAUUUCUGUCACACUUUUGCUGUAUCAUGGCACGUAGUACAGCAGAUGCCGGUAGAUGUCGUGGUUUUGUGGCAGGAGGUGGCAGAGGGCAAGGUGUGACACAGUAG
This 213-nucleotide long non-coding RNA is filed under the name Helianthus annuus (common sunflower). RNAcentral's name for it is "sRNA HanXRQr2_Chr03g0092161". The record is from RNAcentral. Lineage: Eukaryota; Viridiplantae; Streptophyta; Magnoliopsida; Asterales; Asteraceae.